UACGUAGGUGGCAAGCGUUGUCCGGAUUUACUGGGCGUAAAGAGCGCGCAGGCGGUCGUUCAAGUCGAGUGUGAAAGCCCCCGGCUCAACUGGGGAGGGUCAUUCGAUACUGAUCGACUGGAAGGCAGGAGAGGGAAGCGGAAUUCCCGGUGUAGUGGUGAAAUGCGUAGAUAUCGGGAGGAACACCAGUGGCGAAGGCGGCUUCCUGGCCUGUUCUUGACGCUGAGGCGCGAAAGCUAGGGAGCAAAGCGGGAUUGAGAU
This 261-nucleotide ribosomal RNA is filed under the name uncultured bacterium. RNAcentral's name for it is "partial 16S ribosomal RNA". It matches the Rfam family "Bacterial small subunit ribosomal RNA", at positions 524 to 785 of the family's 1533-position model. The record is from RNAcentral.